GAAACGGUGGCAACAUUGUUUAAAGUGCUUCAUUGAAGUAUUAAGUAUUGAUGUUAUUUGUUCAUUGCUGUUUGGUUAACCGUUGGAGUUGAGUUUUAAAGUGAAGUUGUUCUAAUUACUGCACAAAAAGUUUCGAAUUUACAAUGCCGCAUUUAAUUCAAGAUUCCGAUUUCCGGAAUAAAAUGCGUAUGUUCGGAUAGAGAGACGUUCUCCAGAUAAAUAUUGGCACAAUUCCGAUUUCUUUGGCGCCACGAUUUGAAGGUACCGUUGGAAAGAGGAAGUCCUCCUGAUUAAAA
This 296-nucleotide long non-coding RNA is filed under the name Bactrocera tryoni. RNAcentral's name for it is "uncharacterized LOC120781933, transcript variant X2". The record is from RNAcentral. Lineage: Eukaryota; Metazoa; Arthropoda; Insecta; Diptera; Tephritidae.